GCGAGAGACGUUGAGAGGAGAGAUGUGAGUCUCUUCGAUCUGAGAAAGGAGAGAAAAACUCUACAAAACACUGAGAAAAGUCACCAGAAGACCUCUACUUGACCAGAAGAACAACUUCAGACCAGGACCAGAACUUUAGAAAAAGGACUUAUAAGACGACGAGACCAGGAAAGUGAACCAUGGCCCUGCGCAUGGCUCACGGUAUGGGUGAUCCUGAGGGUUGGGUCACAGGCUGGGCCCAGCCCGACGGUUGGGUCGCAGGCUGGGUCCAGCCCGAGGGUUGGGUCGCAGGCUGGCAGCAUCCACUGAUGGAGGAGGAGGAGGAGAAAGAUGGAGGAGCAUCAGUCCACUACAUUGUCCCAUGAUCAGCCCCAGGAGGAGAUAUCAGCAGAGGAAGGAAAUACUUUAAUCCUAAACGAUAGGAACUCCAGCAUCCACUGAUGGAGGAAGAGAAGAAAGAUGGAGGACGGGAGCGCCAGCAUCUACCAAUGGAGGAGAAGAAAGACAUUUAUUUAAACAAUGUAAGCAAAACCUCUUAUUUACACAGAAAGACAUUGAACAAUUUUUUAGUGUAAAAAUGCUGUCAUUGGUAAAAAUGUUGUAAAAUGUAAAUUGUAAAAUGUUCACCACAGUGUCCCUAAUCAGCUCCAGGAGGAGACACCAGCAGAGGAAAGAAAGACUAAUGACCAAAACAAUAGGAACGCCAGCAUCCACUGAUGGAGGAAGAGAAGAAAGAUGGAGGACGGGAGCGCCAGCAUCUACCAAUGGAGGAGAAGAAAGACAUUUAUUAAAACAAUUGUCCCUAAUCAGCUCCAGGAGGAGACACCAGCAGAGGAAAGAAAGACUAAUGACCAAAACAAUAGGAAUGCCAGCAUCCACUGAUGGAGGAGGAGGAGAAAGAUGGAGGAGCAUCAGUCCACUACAGUGUCCCAUAAGCAGCCCCAGGAGGAGAUAUCAGCAGAGGAAAGAAAUACUUUAA
RNAcentral lists this long non-coding RNA (979 nucleotides) under Gouania willdenowi (blunt-snouted clingfish). RNAcentral's name for it is "lncRNA (ENSGWIG00000023502.1)". The record is from RNAcentral. Lineage: Eukaryota; Metazoa; Chordata; Actinopteri; Blenniiformes; Gobiesocidae.